Molecule: ribosomal RNA, 499 nt
Filed under: uncultured bacterium
Lineage: Bacteria
Description: bacterial SSU rRNA
Rfam family: Bacterial small subunit ribosomal RNA
Source: RNAcentral
GGCUCAGGAUGAACGCUAGCUACAGGCUUAACACAUGCAAGUCGAGGGGAAACGAUAUUGGAAGCUUGCUUCCGAUAGGCGUCGACCGGCGCACGGGUGAGUAACGCGUAUCCAACCUGCCCAUCACUUGGGAAUAACCUUGCGAAAGUAAGACUAAUGCCCAAUGACAUUUAUAGAAGGCAUCUGAAAUGAAUUAAAGAUUUAUCGGUGAUGGAUGGGGAUGCGUCUGAUUAGCUUGUUGGCGGGGUAACGGCCCACCAAGGCAACGAUCAGUAGGGGUUCUGAGAGGAAGGUCCCCCACAUUGGAACUGAGACACGGUCCAAACUCCUACGGGAGGCAGCAGUGAGGAAUAUUGGUCAAUGGGCGUGAGCCUGAACCAGCCAAGUAGCGUGCGGGAUGAAGGCCCUAUGGGUUGUAAACCGCUUUUUCAGGGGGAUAAAGUGAGUGACGUGUCAUUCAUUGCAGGUACCCUGCGAAUAAGGACCGGCUAAUUCCGUG